UCAAGAAACUUCCACAAUGGGCGAAAGCCUGAUGGAGCGACGUCGCGUGAUGGACGAAGUGCUUCGGCACGUAAACAUCUUUUAUGUGGGAUGAAAUUAUUGACAGUACCACAUGAAUAAGGGGCUCCUAACUCUGUGCCAGCAGGAGCGGUAAUACAGAGGCCCCAAGCGUUAUCCGGAAUCACUGGGCGUAAAGGGUGUCGAGGCGGUUGUAUUAGUCGUUCGUAAAAUCUACGAGCUUAACUUGUAGGCGGCGAACGAAACGGUACGACUUGAGGCUUGGAGAGGUGCGUGGAACUCACGGUGUAGGGGUGAAAUCCGUUGAUAUCGUGGGGAACACCAAAGGCGAAGGCGGCGCACUGGCCAAGAUCUGACGCUCACACACGAAAGCUAGGGUAGCGAAGAGGAUUAGAUACCCUUGUAGUCCCUGAGCGGGCUGGCAAGGCGCAU
Molecule: ribosomal RNA, 450 nt
Filed under: uncultured bacterium
Lineage: Bacteria
Description: bacterial SSU rRNA
Rfam family: Bacterial small subunit ribosomal RNA
Source: RNAcentral